UUAACACAUGCAAGUCGAGCGGGCACCUUUCGGGGUGUCAGCGGCGGACGGGUGAGUAACGCGUGGGAACGUGCCCUCUGGUUCGGAAUAACUCAGGGAAACUUGAGCUAAUACCGGAUACGCCCUUUUGGGGAAAGGCUUGCUGCCGGAGGAUCGGCCCGCGUCUGAUUAGCUAGUUGGUGAGGUAACGGCUCACCAAGGCGACGAUCAGUAGCUGGUCUGAGAGGAUGAUCAGCCACACUGGGACUGAGACACGGCCCAGACUCCUACGGGAGGCAGCAGUGGGGAAUAUUGGACAAUGGGCGCAAGCCUGAUCCAGCCAUGCCGCGUGAGUGAUGAAGGCCUUAGGGUUGUAAGGCUCUUUUAUCCGGGACGAUAAUGACGGUACCGGAGGAAUAAGCCCCGGCUAACUUCGUGCCAGCAGCCGCGGUAAUACGAAGGGGGCUAGCGUUGCUCGGAAUCACUGGGCGUAAAGGGCGCGUAGGCGGCGUUUUAAGUCGGGGGUGAAAGCCUGUGGCUCAACCACAGAAUGGCCUUCGAUACUGGGACGCUUGAGUAUGGUAGAGGUUGGUGGAACUGCGAGUGUAGAGGUGAAAUUCGUAGAUAUUCGCAAGAACACCGGUGGCGAAGGCGGCCAACUGGACCAUUACUGACGCUGAGGCG
RNAcentral lists this ribosomal RNA (663 nucleotides) under uncultured Alphaproteobacteria bacterium. RNAcentral describes it as "bacterial SSU rRNA". It matches the Rfam family "Bacterial small subunit ribosomal RNA", at positions 48 to 753 of the family's 1533-position model. Lineage: Bacteria; Pseudomonadati; Pseudomonadota; Alphaproteobacteria. The record is from RNAcentral.